CAGCCGCCGCGGGAAUACAGAGGGUGCAAGCGUUAAUCGGAAUUACUGGGCGUAAAGCGCGCGUAGGUGGUUUGUUAAGUUGGAUGUGAAAGCCCCGGGCUCAACCUGGGAACUGCAUCCAAAACUGGCAAGCUAGAGUACGGUAGAGGGUGGUGGAAUUUCCUGUGUAGCGGUGAAAUGCGUAGAUAUAGGAAGGAACACCAGUGGCGAAGGCGACCACCUGGACUGAUACUGACACUGAGGUGCGAAAGCGUGGGGAGCAAACAGGAUUAGAGACCCCUGUAGUCCCUGUCUCUUAUAC
RNAcentral lists this ribosomal RNA (301 nucleotides) under uncultured bacterium. RNAcentral describes it as "partial 16S ribosomal RNA". It matches the Rfam family "Bacterial small subunit ribosomal RNA", at positions 509 to 807 of the family's 1533-position model. The record is from RNAcentral.